AAAAAGUUAAUUAAAGUCAUGGCUAAAAAAUGUAAACCAAUGAGAUGGUUAAUCCUGAUUGGUCGUUUAAAAACUUAUGUGGACGCUUUUAGAAGCGAAUAGCCUCAACUUUUAUAUAGUAUAGAUAAAUACCUUGCUUAUAUUCCUAUAUUCUUGAACAUAUUAAGAGUUUAUAAUACCUUGCUUUUAAUCUUGUGAGCUGAUUAAUUUAUGUGAUGAUUUUAACUAUAGUAUAUUUGAUAGUAUGAUAUUGAAAAAUUAAAUCCGCCAUCAUAGUCGUUCAAUGUUCGAGCAGAAGGCUGACCUAUUGACAAAGGCUCUCGGGCGAAUCAAGUUUAAAGAAAUGAGGGAGCUCAUUGGUGUGAAGGACAUGGGACAAGGUGACUUCAAGUUUAGGAGGGAGAAUGUUGGAUUAAGCUUGAAGAAAGCUGAUGAAGAAAGUAAUAUUAAACCGAGUUAUGGUUUAGUUCCUAACCGAGUUAUGGUUUAGAAAGUGAUCAUCUCAAAUCUCUUUAGGAGUUAUCUAAAUCUAUGUUUUCCUAUUAGGAUUAGGACUAAUGCUUUCAUAUAAAUAGAUGUGUCGAGUUCUAAUAUCAAUGUGAGAGUUGUAUUAAGAGAUUGAGAGAGAAAGCUUAAGUUUUGUGUAAGUUUCUUAAGCUAUAAAGUGAGUUAUACUUUUAUAUUCUUGAGUUCUUAAACAACAACCAAACCUAGAUUCUAUAAACUGAGAGUAAUCAGGCGUUGAAAAAAUAAAGACUACUGGAAUAAGAGCAAAGAUAUUCAAACAUCAAUGUGUGGUUUAAGUUUGAAAACUACCCUCUUUCUUUUCAUAGUAAAUUGAAAUUUCUAACCAAAACGAAAAAAAACACACACACAAAAAAAAAAUCAGAGCCAAGAGACUACCAAUAAUCAAUAUCCAACACAUUUCACAUCAACUCGUUCAUUCAAUCUUUUGAUAAAAUCCCUCCCAUGUUACCCAAAACACAAUUCAAAAGAUAUAAAUCACCAAAAA
RNAcentral lists this small RNA (1012 nucleotides) under Arabidopsis thaliana (thale cress). RNAcentral's name for it is "ATSL284220". The record is from RNAcentral. Lineage: Eukaryota; Viridiplantae; Streptophyta; Magnoliopsida; Brassicales; Brassicaceae.